AUGGGGUUUUGGCUCAGAGAUAGAGCGCUCGCCUAGCAUGCAUGAGGCACUGGGUUCGAUCCUCAGCACCACAUA
RNAcentral lists this transfer RNA (75 nucleotides) under Marmota monax (woodchuck). Its description in RNAcentral is "tRNA.Ala". Lineage: Eukaryota; Metazoa; Chordata; Mammalia; Rodentia; Sciuridae. The record is from RNAcentral.